Long non-coding RNA from Lolium rigidum, 384 nucleotides. RefSeq lists it as uncharacterized. The record is from RefSeq and is a predicted model, not a curated record. The transcript is spliced from 3 exons. NCBI's taxonomy places the organism in Eukaryota, Viridiplantae, Streptophyta, Magnoliopsida, Poales, Poaceae.
ACGAGGGAGGUGCGGCGAGCGGAGCUCCGGGAGCCGCCCAAAUGGCGCGUGCCAAGAACGUCCUUUGAGCCGCUUGAGGCGCCUCGUUGCUCCGGUCAGUGUCUCCCCGUGUCGUGUGAGUCAUCCUCGCCGCAGGAGCCAGAAUCAAGACGAUGAUAAACGAAGCCAUGUUCUGCAUGAAUAAAGAAUCAGACGGAUCUGAACCCCGAGAUAUGGCCAAUAGAAUAUGUAUAGUUGAGCUGCUCAGAUCUCAGAUUGCGAGGCUUUUAAAAAGCAUAUCCGGUCUGCAUCCUAAACCUGUGGAAACUGGAGAGUGCUCGAGGAAAGAAGAAAAUUACAGUCCAGUGCAGGCAGUUCGAACCGACUUAAGGAAAUGAGUAAUGA